CCUACGGGUGGCAGCAGUGAGGAAUAUUGGUCAAUGGGCGCAAGCCUGAACCAGCCAUGUAGCGUGAAGGAUGACUGCCCUACGAGUUGUAAACUGCUUUUGUACAAGGGUAAAGGGAGGCACGCGUGCCUUUUUGUAAGUACUUUAUGAAUAAGGAUCGGCUAACUCCGUGCCAGCAGCCGCGGUAAUACGGAGGAUUCGAGCGUUAUCCGGAUUUAUUGGGUUUAAAGGGUGCGUAGACGGGUUGUUAAGUCAGUUGUGAAAGUUUGAGGCUCAACUGUAGAAUUGCAAUUGAUACUGGCAGUCUAGAGAACAGUUGAGGUAGGCGGAAAGUGUGGUGUAGCGGUGAAAUGCUUAGAUAUCACAAAGAACUCCGAUUGCGAAGGCAGCUUACCAAGCUGCCUCUGACAUUGAUGCACGAAAGUGUGGGUAGCAAACAGGAUUAGAUACCCUUGUAGUC
RNAcentral lists this ribosomal RNA (460 nucleotides) under uncultured bacterium. RNAcentral's name for it is "partial 16S ribosomal RNA". It matches the Rfam family "Bacterial small subunit ribosomal RNA", at positions 338 to 795 of the family's 1533-position model. The record is from RNAcentral.